RNAcentral lists this ribosomal RNA (777 nucleotides) under uncultured bacterium. RNAcentral describes it as "bacterial SSU rRNA". It matches the Rfam family "Bacterial small subunit ribosomal RNA", at positions 38 to 801 of the family's 1533-position model. The record is from RNAcentral.
AGUGCGCGUGCUUACCAUGCAAGUCGAGCGAGAACCGGACCUUCGGGUCUGGGGAAAGCGGCGAACGGGUGAGUAACACGUGGGCAACCUGCCUCAGAGACUGGGAUAACGUCCCGAAAGGGACGCUAAUACCGGAUGAUGCGUGAUCCGCUAAGUGGGUUACGCCAAAUGGUAGCUUCGGCUUCUGCUCUGGGAUGGGCCCGCGCCGGAUUAGCCUGUUGGUGAGGUAAUGGCUCACCAAGGCGACGAUCCGUAGCUGGUCUGAGAGGACGAUCAGCCACACUGGGACUGAGACACGGCCCAGACUCCUACGGGAGGCAGCAGUGGGGAAUCUUGCGCAAUGGGCGAAAGCCUGACGCAGCAACGCCGCGUGAGCGAAGAAGGCCUUCGGGUUGUAAAGCUCUGUCAGGAGGGACGAAGCCACUCAGGUUAAUAGCCGAGAGGGUGACGGUACCUCCAGAGGAAGCCCCGGCUAACUACGUGCCAGCAGCCGCGGUAAUACGUAGGGGGCGAGCGUUGUCCGGAAUCAUUGGGCGUAAAGCGCGUGUAGGCGGCCAUCCAAGUCCGAUGUGAAAGCUCGGGGCUCAACCCCGAGUCUGCAUUGGAAACUGGAUGGCUUGAGUCCGGAAGAGGAGACUGGAAUUCCUGGUGUAGCGGUGAAAUGCGCAGAUAUCAGGAAGAACACCGGUGGCGAAGGCGGGUCUCUGGGACGGUACUGACGCUGAGACGCGAAAGCGUGGGGAGCAAACAGGAUUAGAUACCCUGGUAGUCCACGCC